This 253-nucleotide ribosomal RNA is filed under the name uncultured bacterium. RNAcentral's name for it is "partial 16S ribosomal RNA". It matches the Rfam family "Bacterial small subunit ribosomal RNA", at positions 524 to 776 of the family's 1533-position model. The record is from RNAcentral.
UACAGGGGGUGCAAACGUUGCUCGGAAUCAUUGGGCGUAAAGCGCACGUAGGCGGUUCGUUAUGUCGGAUGUGAAAGCCCUUGGCUUAACCGAGGAAGUGCAUCCGAAACUGGCGAGCUAGAGUACGAAAGAGGAUCGCGGAAUUCCCGGUGUAGCGGUGAAAUGCGUAGAUAUCAGGAGGAACACCUGUGGCGAAAGCGGCGCACUGGACCACAACUGACGCUGAGGCGCGAAAGCUAGGGGAGCAAACAGG